AACAACUCGACGUCGUCGGGGAGCUCCUUUGCCCUCUCGACAUCCUUCCUCUCCACCCUCCGCUCUACACUCGAUGAGAUCCAAAAGCUCAUUUCCGUCCUCUCCACCUUCUCCGACGUCCUCGGCGGCGACCUCCGCCUCUCCUCCGCCGUCUCAGACUGCCUUGACCUCCUCGACCUCUCCUCCGACGAGCUCUCCUUGACCAUCUCCGCCUCCCAGCCCUCCACCACCUCCACCGCCGCCUCCGCCGCCGCCGAAGGUACCGGCAAGCGCCUCUCCGACCUCCGCUCCUGGCUGAGUGCCGCCCUCGGUAACCAGGACACCUGCAAGGAGUCCCUCGACGGGACCAGCAGCGUCGUCGG
Molecule: long non-coding RNA, 362 nt
Filed under: Phoenix dactylifera (date palm)
Lineage: Eukaryota; Viridiplantae; Streptophyta; Magnoliopsida; Arecales; Arecaceae
Description: long non-coding RNA (PDAC_LNC004142)
Source: RNAcentral